AACGGCCGCGGUACCCUAACCGUGCGAAGGUAGCGUAAUCACUUGUUCUUUAAAUGAGGACUAGUAUGAAUGGCACCACGAGGGUUAAACUGUCUCCUUUUUUUAAUCAGUGAAACUAAUCUCCCCGUGAAGAAGCGGGGAUUCUUUUAUAAGACGAGAAGACCCUAUGGAGCUUUAAACAAGUUAACACCUGCUACUAAUCNNUUCACUUUCCUGAACCACCACAUUAAGUAUAGCACCUCUGAUUAACAGUUUUCGAUUGGGGUGAUCAUGGAGCAAAAAUCAACCUCCACGACGAAAAGGAACACCUCCUUGAGCCAAAAGCUACAACUUUAAGCACUAAAAAACUAACGCACUUUGACCCAAUUCUUUGAGCAACGAACCAAGUUACCCUAGGGAUAACAGCGCAAUCCACUUUAAGAGCUCCUAUCGACAAGUGGGUUUACGACCUCGAUGUUGGAUCAGGGUAUCCCAGUGGUGCAGCCGCUACUAAAGGUUCGUUUGUUCAACGAUUAAAACCCUACGUGAUCUGAGUUCAGACCGGAGUAAUCCAGGUCAGUUUCUAUCUAUAAAGGGCUUUUUCUAGUACGAAAGGACCGAAAAAGCAUGGCCUAUAACCCAUCAAGCCAUAUAAAUUACUAUUGUUCCCAACUUAAAUAGAAGUAAACCUACCACUUAUCUCGAUAAAAGAGAAGUUAACGUAGCAUAACCUGGCCUUGCAG
Molecule: ribosomal RNA, 722 nt
Filed under: Boana raniceps (Chaco treefrog)
Lineage: Eukaryota; Metazoa; Chordata; Amphibia; Anura; Hylidae
Description: partial 16S ribosomal RNA
Rfam family: Bacterial large subunit ribosomal RNA
Source: RNAcentral